CUGCAGUCUGGGCAACAAGAGUGAAACUCCAUCUCAAAAAAAAAAAAGACCUUAGCUUUUCCUCUGAGAGCAGAAACUUUGGAGGGGCUUGAGUCAAGCAAUGGCGUGAUCUGCUUCGUAUCUUAACAGAGUCACCUUGGCUGCUCGGUCAGGGCAGGGGGACAAGUGUGGAGGCAGCAAAGUCAAUUUGGACGCUGUGGCCAACAACCAUAAGCACGGCUGAGGUCACCUAGGGAGUGCUUGUGGAUGAACAGGGAAGAGGCCCAAGACUGGACGUGGAGGUCUCCAAUGUUUAGAGUCAGGGAAAUGAAGGACACCAACAAAACUCACCUAAGAGAGGAGCAGUCGAAGAAGGAGGGGAACUGCUGAGCAUGGGCUCUGGAAGCCACAGCUCCAGGAAGAGGAAGUGAACAGCUCUGUCAAACGCUGCUGCUGGGUGGAGCUCCCUGAAGACAGAGAGUGAACCCUUGGUUUUCGCCAUGUAGAGGUCUGCUGUGCUGAGACUCAUGGCAAACCCCAGGAGCCACCUAUGAUGUGCCAGACACAUAAGCCCCUCCCUCACAGGCGUGGGUGCAGCCGGGGCCGACCGCAUUCCAAGGAGCAUUUCCUCUGAAAGCCAGGCCAAGUGCCCGCUCUCCAGCGUGAGUCAAGCAGUGCCAUGCCUCCCACACCCCUUGCAUCACAUCUCUGGGAAUGCACAGACCUUGCUGUUACGCUCUCUCUUCCCACCCUUUAUGGGUGUUUUCUUUAAGUGGCAGAAGGAAGUGGGCAUGGGUUGGGAGAGGACCAUGAAUUCUAGUUUCUGCCAUACUGCAGGUGGAUUUGGGGAAGAAGAGAGUCUCCUUUCUGGCCCACACCACAGGGACAUUCAGAAGCAGUUGUUAAAGGGGGAGCAGCAUUGGCUGGGCCCAGGGAAGGACAAGUAGAUGACUGUAUAAAGCCAGGCAUGAGAGCAGUUGGAAUAAGUUGUUUCACUCAUAAAUUUAUGGUGAGCCUUGUCCAUAUUGUUAAUGGCAUAUUCUUGUGAAGCAGACCUACAUACUUCUGAAAAGCACGGCCUUGUUCCCUGCUCAGCUAACUCUGUCUGAUCUCCUGACAUAUAUAUGUGGCAAUUUGGAAUUCUAAGCAGAGUUCAAAAUUCUAGGCCAAGAUUGGGAUUUGGAGGAGAAAAGGGGCCAGUUCCAGAGCAAGGGGAAGAAUAAAAUCUCUCCACUGUGGACACUGAAAUGAGACUGAUAAUGACCUAUUUAUUAUCCAUCUAGGGCAGACCCCACAGGCAGGGGUCAUGCAUGGGGGAGUUCAAAACCUAGUUCAUCAGGUUCUUUCCUCCAGGAUUUUGGUCUAGGCAACAUCAGAUGAAAACGAACACUAAGGGCAAUCCUGAAGAACCAAAAGAAACUGGCAAUGGACAGGGGUGAAUUGCAUCCUGUACUGUUUACAGCCUUAUCUCCAACUUUUGCAGAGUCAAGAAUUUAAAAGCAGCAGGGCUUGGUGGCCCAUGCCUGUAAUCCCAAUAUUUUGGGAGGCCGCAGCGGGAGGAUCACUUGAGGCCAGGAGUUCCAGACCUCCCUGGGCAACAUGAUGAGACCACAUCUCUACAGAAAAAUUAGCUGGGCAUGCUGGCAUGUGCCUGUAGUCCCAGCUCCUCAAGAGGCUGAGGUGGGAGGAUCACUUGAGCCCAGGAGGUCAAGGCUGCAGUGAGCUAUGAUCACACCAAUGCACUCUAGCCUGGGGACACAGUGAGACCCUGUCUCAAAAAAAAAAAAAAGAGGAAUUUAAAAGCAUUUACUACUAUCUAGUGUACUAUAUACUUAUUAUUAGUUUAUUUUUGGUCUCCCUCACCAGAAUGUAGGCUCCUUAAAGGCAGUAGUAUUGCACAUAAUAGGGACUAAUAUACCUUUAUUGAAUUAAUUAAUGAGGGCCAAGAUAUCUCAUGUAUUGGGUAUCUACUAUGUGCCAAGCCUUUUACUAGGUGCUUUACACACACAUUUAUAUUGUGCCACUUAAAACUUAUAGUAACUCUAAAAGAUGAUGGCUGGGUGCACUGGCCCACACCUGUAAUCCCAGCAAGUUGGGAGCCCAAGGUGGGAGGAUGGCUUGAGGCCAGGAGUUUGACACCAGCAGGGAGAACAUAGCAAGACCUCAUCUCUACAAAAUUAAAAAAAAAAAUACAAAAAUUAGCCGAGUGUGGUGGUGCACACCUGUAGUCCCAGGUACUUGGGAGGUUGAGGUGGGAGGAUCACUUGAGCCCAGGAGGUUGAGGCUGCAGUGAGCUAUGAUUGUACCACUGCGCUCCAGCUCAGAUAACAGAGCCAGACCCUAUCUCUAAAAUUUAAAUAAAUAAAUAAAUAAAUAAAUAAAUAAAUAAAUAAAUAAUGUCUAUUAUCCCCAUUUUGAAAAAAAAAAAAAAUCUGAGAGAAGGCCAGACACCAUGGCUCAAACCUGUAGACAGAGACGGGCAGAAGGCUUGGUCAAGAGUUCGAGACCAGCCUGGCUAACAUGGUGAAAACCCCUGCCUCUACUAAAAAUACAAAAAUUAGCCAAGUAUGAUGGUGGCGCCUGCUAUCCCAGCUACUUGGGAGGCUGAGGCAGAAUUGCUUGAACCCGGGAGGCAGAGGUUGCAGUGAGCUGAGAUCACACCACUGCACUCCAGCCUGGGUGACAGAGCGAGUAUCCAUCUCAAAAAAAAAAAAAAAAAAAAGCCUGAGAGAGAAAUCAAGCAAUAUGCCCCAAAUUACACUACUAGCAAAUAACAAAAUCAAAAUUCAAUCCCAAGUCUCAAUUUUCUUUUCAAAUUCUUCACUUACUAUAUCCGUUUCCUGUUGCUGCUGUAGCACGUUACUGUGCACUUUCUCACGGUGCAGGAGAUGAGAAGUCUGAAAUCAAGGAGUCAGCAAGGCCACAGUCCCUCCAGAGGCUCCAGGAGAGAAUCCAUUCCUUGCCUCUUCUGGCUGUCAAAAUUCUGUGGCUUGGAGCCGCAUGGCUCCAAUGUCUGCCUCCAAGGUCACACGGCUUCCUCCUCUUCUGUCUGUGUGAAGUCUCCCUCUGCCUCUGUCUUAUAAAGACACUUGUGAUUGCAUUUAGGAUACCCCUAGAGAAUCCAGGAUAAUUGCCUCAUCCCAAGAUCCUUAACUUUACAUCUGUAAAGUCUUUUUUUUUUUUUUUUUUUUGCCAUAUAAGGUAACACUCACAGGUCCAGGGUUAAGAUGUGGAUAUCUUUUGGAGAGCCUAACACACACAUCUUAAAAAGAGAAUUUGUGCUCAGGUCCCCAGGGCCAAGACAAGGCGUGCUCUCCAGCACAGUCAUGCCAAUUACAACACUCAGGCAAAGCCCAAGGGGUGCUGGGGUCCUUUACAAGAUGCAGUCACUUUUGUCUGGAUCUGGACCUUAUAACCUGAGCCUAGUGCAGCAGAGGGGGUUGGAGGAGUGAGGACUGGAUGGGCCAGAUGCCAGGAAGGUAAAAAGAUAAAUGCUGAUUUGUCAGAUAUGAGUGCUUGGUGACUGUAGGGUUCCUGAAAACAGAAGGAAGAGAGAGGAAGGAAAUAUGUUUCAUGAAUAUAAAAAGAAUUUAAGUAUUCACUUUAACCAAGUGAUCAGGCUUAGUGUCACCAAUAUGAAAAAAAAAAGGUGACAUUGUUCACUUCUGGUGUGAUUCAAUAAGAUACUCAACAUCACCUGUUCAACACUCUUAACAAAGCUAAAAAGUAAAUAAAUAAAUAAAGGUUAAAUCACUUGGAAACCAUCAGACAAAUCCAGAAUGUGGGACAUUUUAUGAAACAACUGUCUUGGAUGCUUCAAAAUAUUUCAGUACCAUGAAAAAAAUCUGAGGAGAUUGUUCUAAAUUAAAAGGCACUAAAGACACAUAGACCAAAGUAGCACUUGAACCUUAAUUGGAUCCUGGGUGGUGGUGGUGGUGGUUGUUGUUGUUGUUUUUCAUUUUUUUAUUAUUAUACUUUAAGUUUUAGGGUACAUGUGCACAACCUGCAGGUUUGUUACAUAUGUAUACAUGUGCCAUGCUGGUGUGCUGCACCCAUUAACUCGUCAUUUAGCAUUAGGUAUAUCUCCUAAUGCUAUCCCUCCCCCCUCCCCCCACCCCACAACAGUCCCUGGUGUGGUGUGUGAUGUUCCCCUUCCUGUGUCCAUGUGUUCUCAUUGUUCAAUUCCCACCUAUGAGUGAGAACAUGCGGUGUUUGGUUUUUUUGUCCUUGCGAUAGUUUGCUGAGAAUGAUGGUUUCCAGCUUCAUCCAUGUCCCUACAAAGGACAUGAACUCAUCAUUUUUUAUGGCUGCAUAGUAUUCCAUGGUGUAUAUGUGCCACAUUUUCUUGAUCCAGUCUAUCAUUGCUGGCUGGACAUUUAGGUUGGUUCCAAGUCUUUGCUAUUGUGAAUAGUGCCGCAAUAAACAUACGUGUGCAUGUGUCUUUAUAGCAGCACGAUUUAUAAUCCUCUGGGUACAUACCCAGUAAUGGGAUGGCUGGGUCAAAUGGUAUUUCUAGUUCUAGAUCCCUGAGGAACCGCCACACUGACUUCCACAAUGGUUUUAAAAAAACAAAAAAAACAGCUAUUAAGGGCAUUCUGGGAACAAUUAGGAAAAUAUAAAUAGGAACUAUUUUAUCAUAGGAUAUUGAAUUAACAUUAAUUUUCUUUUUUUAAAAUACAUGUUAGCAGCAGAUUUGUAUUAGAUGGAGGAUAACAAGGGUUAGGUAAGCAGUAACAAAUGGCAAGUACAGCCAUGCUACAGAGGAGUGAAGGCAUUACUGGGUAUGGGAAUGGGCACUUAUGAAAUCUAAGGGUCAGGUCUCCUGACGAACUCUGACCACCCAGUAAGCUCUUCUCCUUGGCACGCAAUAUGACCAGUGCUGGCAUGAAAGCGUCUACAGUAGCUAGUUCAACUUGGCCAACCGUUCUUCCAGUUCUGGUCGAGCUUUGAAUCUUCCCUU
Molecule: long non-coding RNA, 4939 nt
Filed under: Homo sapiens (human)
Lineage: Eukaryota; Metazoa; Chordata; Mammalia; Primates; Hominidae
Description: HSALNT0101203
Source: RNAcentral